This 82-nucleotide microRNA precursor is filed under the name Ovis aries (sheep). RNAcentral's name for it is "let-7 microRNA precursor family". It matches the Rfam family "let-7 microRNA precursor family". Rfam says of the family: This family represents the microRNAs (miRNA) let-7 and mir-98. let-7 was identified from a study of developmental timing in C. elegans, and was later shown to be part of a much larger class of non-coding RNAs termed miRNAs. Lineage: Eukaryota; Metazoa; Chordata; Mammalia; Artiodactyla; Bovidae. The record is from Rfam by way of RNAcentral.
GUGGGAUGAGGUAGUAGGUUGUAUAGUUUUAGGGUCACACCCACCGCUGGGAGAUAACUAUACAAUCUACUGUCUUUCCUAA